Molecule: long non-coding RNA, 801 nt
Organism: Drosophila santomea
Lineage: Eukaryota; Metazoa; Arthropoda; Insecta; Diptera; Drosophilidae
Exons: 2
Source: RefSeq, a predicted model, not a curated record
GCAAAAAAAAAAAAAAGCACAAAAAAGUAGUUCACAUAUGUAUGAACCAGGAGCAAAGGCCAAACAGGCAAACAAACGAUGGCAAAUAUUUGGGGUGCCAGCACACAGGAAAUUGUUGCAUCGAGUUGGCCAUAUUAUGUAAAUCACUGCCAUUGACAGCCGCCACAACAACAACAACAACCGAAACAACAACAACAACAACAGCAACAGCAGGAGCAACAAAAUCGAAAGCAACAGAAGCCACAAUUUUCAGCAGGAAGAGCAGCAAAAUAUUGUGUGUACAAAGCCCGAAAACCACUUUGGGCCCAACUUAUUUGUGGCUAACAAAUUUGCAUGCAUUGACGCAUCAUCAUCGCAGUUGCCAAUUCAUCUGGAUACUCGUAUACGUCAAUGUGACAACACUGGAGACUUUGGCUGCGAUUGCAAAUCUUGGGCAAAUCAAUAGAAGUUGUAAAGAGCUGGGAAAAGCGUCCUCAAUGUGUCAGCUCAAAUGUCAAUUUGUUGGCCAGGAUUUCCAGGAUAUCGAUGGCACAAGUGACAAAACACAAAACUUGCUAGUUUUUGAGACUGAUUGAGGGCGGUAUUGUAGGAGUCAGCAAAGACAUUUGUAAAAAGUGAAAAAAGAUACAAGAUAAAUCCGAGUGGGUGUUAGAGAACUGGACUACCAGAUACCCGUUACACAGUUACUGAUGGGUGCAACUUGGCUACUGAUCCUGAUCAAGAUUAUAUAUACUUUUUAGGGUUGGAAACACAAGUAUACUAAUAAAAACUAUGAAAUACUACGCUAUACUUUUUAAAACA